RNAcentral lists this non-coding RNA (108 nucleotides) under human gut metagenome. Its description in RNAcentral is "FMN riboswitch (RFN element)". It matches the Rfam family "FMN riboswitch aptamer (RFN element)". From Rfam's summary of the family: The RFN element is a highly conserved domain that is found frequently in the 5'-untranslated regions of prokaryotic mRNAs that encode for flavin mononucleotide (FMN) biosynthesis and transport proteins. This element is a metabolite-dependent riboswitch that directly binds FMN in the absence of proteins. In Bacillus subtilis, the riboswitch most likely controls gene expression by causing premature transcription termination within the 5' untranslated region of the ribDEAHT operon and precluding access to the ribosome-binding site of ypaA mRNA. The record is from RNAcentral.
UAUCUUCAGGGCGGGGCGAAAUUCCCCACCGGCGGUGACAGUCCGCGAGCGUAAGCGCUGAUCCGGUGCAAUUCCGGAACCGACAGUACAGUCUGGAUGGGAGAAGAU